Molecule: ribosomal RNA, 711 nt
Filed under: Pseudechiniscus aff. suillus MONGOLIA_C2595
Lineage: Eukaryota; Metazoa; Tardigrada; Heterotardigrada; Echiniscoidea; Echiniscidae
Description: partial 28S large subunit ribosomal RNA
Rfam family: Eukaryotic large subunit ribosomal RNA
Source: RNAcentral
CUAUACUCAACCGUUGUGGCACACGCUGCGGUAAGCAAUUACCGUAUUUGGUGCUUUUAUGGCACAUGCGUGCUAGUCAUGCCUCAACGAGUAGGAGGGUCGCGGCGGUAUGCUUUGAAGGCUUAGCGGCGUGAGCCGGGCUGGAGCUGCCGUCGGUGCAGAUCUUGGUGGUAGUAGCAAAUACUCAAGCGAGAACCUUGAGGACUGAAGUGGAGAAGGCUUCCAUGUGAACAGCAGUUGAACAUGGGUCAGUCGAUCCUAAAGCAUCGGCGAAGGCCGUUCAGAAGCGGUGUCGGUUAUGUGGCAGUAUGCUGUUUCGGCAGUAUGCUGUCCGGCUAUAGGCGCUUGCUCGUUUAUAGUCGCCGCACCUGCUGAAAGGGAAUUGGAUUAAUAUUUCCAAACCUAACAGCGGAGAUUGGUUGCUCAUUAGGCUGCGCGGGCCUUGCGCUCGUGUCAGUCGGGGCAACGCGCUGCGGUAACGCAAACGAACUCGGAUACGCUGACUGGAGUCCCGGGAAGAGUUGUCUUUUCUUCAUAAAGAGUCGACUCCAUGGAAUUGGUUCAGCCAGAGAUAUGGAGAUGGCGUCUGAAAAGCAUCGCGCUUCUUGCGAUGUCCGGUGCGCUCCAAGCGGCCCUUGAAAAUCCGAGGGAGAGAAUGAUUUUCGUGUUAGAUCGUACCCAUAUCCGCAGCAGGUCUCCAAGGUUAAAAGC